Long non-coding RNA from Myripristis murdjan (pinecone soldierfish), 437 nucleotides. RefSeq lists it as uncharacterized. The record is from RefSeq and is a predicted model, not a curated record. Lineage: Eukaryota; Metazoa; Chordata; Actinopteri; Holocentriformes; Holocentridae. The transcript is spliced from 4 exons.
CUUUGUUUGAAGCCUGGUGGCUGCAGGGAGGGUUGUGUGUGCAGAGUGGUGUUGCAGCUGAAACAUCAGUGAUCUUGAGGCGUGCUGCUUAGGCCAACAUUGGACAGGAGCUGACCGUGUGCCGUUCCCCAGUGUGGGACAGGGCAGCCAUAUUAUUUAUUGGUGGAAAAUUCCCCAAGGUGGAAAGGACCGUGUGGCGUGCAGUGUGCUCAUGUGCAUGGGUGUACCCUGGGCUGCAAUUGAACCUCCCCGCAGGAGACCCACUGCCCCUUUUUCUUCUCCCCUGUAGUUUUUAGGCGAGAUGCCUUAUCUCGCAGUUGAUAUUGUCUUUUAGCUGGUGUUAAAUAAAACUUUGACUGUGGUUCCUUUGGUUUAUUUCACCGACCCACCCAAUUGAAGUUGUCUCCUUCUCUUUUUCAAUAAAAUUCUAAUUGUGA